This 94-nucleotide small nuclear RNA is filed under the name Neotoma lepida (desert woodrat). The record is from RNAcentral. Lineage: Eukaryota; Metazoa; Chordata; Mammalia; Rodentia; Cricetidae.
GNGCUCACUUCGGCAGCACAUAUAGUAGAAUCGGAAUAAUACAGAGAAGAUUAGCAUGGCCCACAAGCAAAUUUGUGAAGCGUUCCAUAUUUUU